RNAcentral lists this ribosomal RNA (1066 nucleotides) under Lactobacillus sp. BLB3. Its description in RNAcentral is "bacterial SSU rRNA". It matches the Rfam family "Bacterial small subunit ribosomal RNA", at positions 42 to 1068 of the family's 1533-position model. The record is from RNAcentral. Lineage: Bacteria; Bacillati; Bacillota; Bacilli; Lactobacillales; Lactobacillaceae.
GCGUGCCUAAUACAUGCAAGUCGAGCCGAGCUUGCCUAGAUGAAUUUGGUGCUUGCACCAGAUGAAACUAGAUACAAGCGAGCGGCGGACGGGUGAGUAACACGUGGGUAACCUGCCCAAGAGACUGGGAUAACACCUGGAAACAGAUGCUAAUACCGGAUAACAACACUAGACGCAUGUCUAGAGUUUAAAAGAUGGUUCUGCUAUCACUCUUGGAUGGACCUGCGGUGCAUUAGCUAGUUGGUAAGGUAACGGCUUACCAAGGCAAUGAUGCAUAGCCGAGUUGAGAGACUGAUCGGCCACAUUGGGACUGAGACACGGCCCAAACUCCUACGGGAGGCAGCAGUAGGGAAUCUUCCACAAUGGACGCAAGUCUGAUGGAGCAACGCCGCGUGAGUGAAGAAGGGUUUCGGCUCGUAAAGCUCUGUUGGUAGUGAAGAAAGAUAGAGGUAGUAACUGGCCUUUAUUUGACGGUAAUUACUUAGAAAGUCACGGCUAACUACGUGCCAGCAGCCGCGGUAAUACGUAGGUGGCAAGCGUUGUCCGGAUUUAUUGGGCGUAAAGCCGAGUGCAGGCGGUUCAAUAAGUCUGAUGUGAAAGCCUUCGGCUCAACCGGAGAAUUGCAUCAGAAACUGUUGAACUUGAGUGCAGAAGAGGAGAGUGGAACUCCAUGUGUAGCGGUGGAAUGCGUAGAUAUAUGGAAGAACACCAGUGGCGAAGGCGGCUCUCUGGUCUGCAACUGACGCUGAGGCUCGAAAGCAUGGGUAGCGAACAGGAUUAGAUACCCUGGUAGUCCAUGCCGUAAACGAUGAGUGCUAAGUGUUGGGAGGUUUCCGCCUUCAGUGCUGCAGCUAACGCAUUAAGCACUCCGCCUGGGGAGUACGACCGCAAGGUUGAAACUCAAAGGAAUUGACGGGGGCCCGCACAAGCGGUGGAGCAUGUGGUUUAAUUCGAAGCAACGGAAGAACCUUACCAGGUCUUGACAUCCAGUGCAAACUUAAGAGAUUAGGUGUUCCCUUCGGGGACGCUGAGACAGGUGGUGCAUGGCUGUCGUCAGCUCGGUCGU